UUCCUGGAACUGUAAUUUUAUGAAUGAAUGGUUGUGAGCUAUGAUGUGGGUGCUGGGAAUUGAACCUGGGUCCUGUAUAUGAACAAGUGCUCUUGGCUUCUGAUUUCUCUCUCCAGUCUAAGAGAACAGAUACUACUGCUUUCAGACAGGUUCUCCUUGUAUGUCUCAGGCUCUCCUCAAACUGGGGAGCCUCCUGUCUCAUCUGUUAGUGUAGAAAUUAUCUUCAGGUUCUAUCACAAUCAUCCACUAUUUUUGACUCUCUGAUGGCCGAAUCUAGUUUACUCUUAAUUUGCCUAUAGCAAAGGGGUAUAUAUGUGAGUGAAAUCUAGAGUUGAAUCCACUUUUACACUUUUAAAUUUUAUUUAUCACUGUGGGUAUGUGUGAGAGAGAUGUGCUUGUGGGAAUAUGUGCCACAGCAUUCACGUGGAGGUCCAAGGCCAGCCUGAGGAAUCAGCUCUCUCCUUCGCCCUUUCUGUGAGUUCCAGGGCUUGCACAGCAAGCGUGAUUACCUGCUGGUCCAUGCUGAUGGCCCUUUGAUGUUUGUUUUUGACACUUCCAUCAAGCAUUAGGAGAGGUGAAAGGAGGAUGUCUCAAGUAUUGCAUUCUGUAUUAUUCCUUUGAGAGUCUCACUGAACCCAGCGGAAGGCUGGUGCGGUCAAGCUUCAGUGCACUGUCCCUUCCCUACACAGUGCUUGGCGUUGCAGUGGACGGAGCCUAACCAAUGCUAGAACUCUACCACCAAUCUACAACUCCAGUCCACCUGUUUAUUGCAUGGCCCUUGAAGGGGACUAGUUGUCUUAAUGGACAGCUGCUUCCAUCCCAAGGAGAUGACACAUCAUACUGUAAAGGUGACAGAACAAGUCAGCGCUGCAUGGGCUACCUGGCUUGGGCAUCUACAUUAUGGCCCUGGUCAAGCCUGUGCACCCUACAGGGAUAAACUAAAAAUGGCUCUUCCCCUGUCUCCACCCCCCGUGGGGAUAUUGAACCCAGGUCUUGAGCAUGCUAGGAAAGCACUAUAAAGGCAAAAAGAGUAUUUUGUGAGACAUGAAAAUCAUAUGAAAUUCAAAUUUCAGUUCCUAAAGUUUGAACACAGCACAUCGCUGGAACCCAGUCAUGUCGACUCAUUUCCGCAGGUCCUUUGGCUGCUUUUCACUACUCAAUUAGUGUAGUCACAACAGAAACCAGACAUGGUACUGUCAUUGCUUUGUUACUGCAACAUGGCGAAUAAGGAGAGUAAUGUGGUGGAAUUUUAUAAAAACCUGCUGAAAGGCCCAACUAAAAGCACUUGCUCCAGACACUCAGGAGGGAGAGGCAGGAGAUUUCCUUUCUUUUUCUUAAGAUUUAUUUAUUUGUUAUGUAUACAGUAUUCUGUCUGUGUGUAUGCCUACAGUGAAGG
Molecule: long non-coding RNA, 1396 nt
Organism: Myodes glareolus (Bank vole)
Lineage: Eukaryota; Metazoa; Chordata; Mammalia; Rodentia; Cricetidae
Source: RefSeq, a predicted model, not a curated record